CUUUUCAUCAUAGAUCAGUUGCUGUCAUAUCAUAAUGAUAGUGACUCCUAAUACAAAAGGAGUUGGCUUCAGAAAGGAUUCUGCAAUGUACGAGGUUGAUUUGUUAAAAAGUGAUGCAUAUGGUGAUGUAGUAUUGAAGAUUAGUGCAACACAGGUGCUGGAUGAGUUUGAUAAUAGUUUAGAAGACAACUGAGUAUUAAGGCAGUCUAUAUUACCACUUAUUAAUAACUGUUCAAUAAUCAUUUAUUCAAUUUCAAUAAGGGUUUGUGUCACUUUUACGUCUCUUGAGUCCAAGCCCCUUUAA
Molecule: long non-coding RNA, 304 nt
Organism: Amphimedon queenslandica
Lineage: Eukaryota; Metazoa; Porifera; Demospongiae; Haplosclerida; Niphatidae
Exons: 2
Source: RefSeq, a predicted model, not a curated record